This 485-nucleotide ribosomal RNA is filed under the name uncultured bacterium. RNAcentral describes it as "partial 16S ribosomal RNA". It matches the Rfam family "Bacterial small subunit ribosomal RNA", at positions 28 to 507 of the family's 1533-position model. The record is from RNAcentral.
AUUGAACGCUGGCGGCAUGCCUUACACAUGCAAGUCGAACGGCAGCGGGCCCUUCGGGGUGCCGGCGAGUGGCGAACGGGUGAGUAAUGCAUCGGAACGUACCCGGGAGAGGGGGAUAACCGGCCGAAAGGCUGGCUAAUACCGCAUGAACUCGGAAGAGCAAAGCGGGGGACCUUCGGGCCUCGCGCUCUCGGAGCGGCCGAUGUCCGAUUAGGCUAGUUGGUGGGGUAAAGGCCCACCAAGGCGACGAUCGGUAACGGGUCUGAGAGGACGAUCCGCCACACUGGGACUGAGACACGGCCCAGACUCCUACGGGAGGCAGCAGUGGGGAAUCUUGGACAAUGGGCGCAAGCCUGAUCCAGCAAUGCCGCGUGGGUGAAGAAGGCCUUCGGGUUGUAAAGCCCUUUCGGCGGGGAAGAAAUCGGUCAGGCGAAUAGUCUGGCCGGAUGACGGUACCCGCAGAAGAAGCACCGGCUAACUACGUG